RNAcentral lists this ribosomal RNA (466 nucleotides) under uncultured bacterium. RNAcentral describes it as "bacterial SSU rRNA". It matches the Rfam family "Bacterial small subunit ribosomal RNA", at positions 329 to 793 of the family's 1533-position model. The record is from RNAcentral.
UCCCAGACUCCUACGGGAGGCAGCAGUGAGGAAUAUUGGUCAAUGGACGAGAGUCUGAACCAGCCAAGUAGCGUGAAGGAUGACUGCCCUAUGGGUUGUAAACUUCUUUUAUAUGGGAAUAAAAUGUUCCACGUGUGGGAUUUUGUAUGUACCAUAUGAAUAAGGAUCGGCUAACUCCGUGCCAGCAGCCGCGGUAAUACGGAGGAUCCGAGCGUUAUCCGGAUUUAUUGGGUUUAAAGGGUGCGUAGGCGGGCAUUUAAGCCGGCGGUCAAAUGUCGGGGCUCAACCCCGGCCUGCCGUCGGAACUGGGUGCCUUGAGUGGGCGAGAAGUAUGCGGAAUGCGUGGUGUAGCGGUGAAAUGCAUAGAUAUCACGCAGAACCCCGAUUGCGAAGGCAGCAUACCGGCGCCCUACUGACGCUGAGGCACGAAAGUGCGGGUAUCGAACAGGAUUAGAUACCCCCGUAU